AAUCUAAAAAAUAGAUGACAUUGUAUUCAUAAUCUUUUAUUCGAAGAAUACAAUAGAAUACAAGGUGAUUUUCGUAGAAUGGCUCCAAAAAUCUUCUUGUGCAUUCUUUUUGUAGCUGUGCUAUUGGCUUCAGAAGCAACAAGUGGCACAAUAAUGGUUGAAGGCGAAAGGAAGGUGUGCGCCAAGAGUAAAGGAAAAUGUCCAGAUAACAAUGCCGCUUGCUUUGAAGACUGUGUAGAAAGGAAUUACGUCGAUGGCCAUUGUGAGGGCUUCAAUUGUUGCUGUUUCAGUCAUGACUAGAGAUUAGUGUUUAAGAUUUUUAUUAUUAUAAUAAUAUCCCUAUUAAUAAUAAGGUGAGUUUUAUGGUGUCUUUUA
Molecule: non-coding RNA, 375 nt
Organism: Arachis ipaensis
Lineage: Eukaryota; Viridiplantae; Streptophyta; Magnoliopsida; Fabales; Fabaceae
Source: RefSeq, a predicted model, not a curated record